AAGGUUUGGAAUCAUUACAGCUUGUCUCAAGACUGAAAGGUCGGGAUGGAGAAUGUGUUACAAUGCGUGUUUGUGUUCCUAGUCUUGUGGCUUCAGUUUGGCUGGUUGCAUGGAAAAGAUGAGGUGGAGCAGAGUCCCGAGAUCCUGAGACUCCUGGAAGGAGACAGUGGCAGCCUCAACUGCAGUUACACGACCAGCUAUUUCAGAGGACUACAUUGGUACAGGCAAGAUCCUGGGAAAGGCCCCAAAUUCCUCUUUAGCCUGCAUUCAGCUGGAGAUACAAAGGAUAAAGACAGACUAAAAGCCACAUUAUCUAAGAUGGGAAGCUCUCUGCACAUCACCACCCCUAAACCUGAAGACUCAGCCACUUAUCUCUGUGCUGUGGAUGCACAGUGCUCCCCUGGCACCUGA
Castor canadensis (American beaver) is the source of this 411-nucleotide non-coding RNA. Lineage: Eukaryota; Metazoa; Chordata; Mammalia; Rodentia; Castoridae. The record is from the annotation of a RefSeq genome assembly.